Molecule: long non-coding RNA, 496 nt
Filed under: Vigna radiata
Lineage: Eukaryota; Viridiplantae; Streptophyta; Magnoliopsida; Fabales; Fabaceae
Description: long non-coding RNA (VRAD_LNC008739)
Source: RNAcentral
GGGUGGAGAUGCUCAAAUGUGUGCAAAAUGCUUUAUGAAUGUGGAAAAAUCAACCCUAAACAGCUGUGCUCUCAGAAAACCCCAAACGUUUUUGAAGAGGUGGUGCAAAAAUGGUGGAGGAAGGGUUUUUAUGAAGAGGGGUGAAAGGAAAACUGAAGAGAAUGCUCAGGAAAAUACUUGAGAGUGGAAAAAAUGAGUGAGGGUCAAAUAGAGAGGUUAGGGUGAGACCUAGGGUAAGUAAAGUGAGCAAUGGGCCAACUCACGCUAGGCCCAAAAUUUUAAAACCCAAAAAUCAAUCUGCAGUACUAGCGCUCAACGCCAGUUACCGAUGAGCGGCAUGUGCGAGAUCAAUUUUCCCUCUUCCUAGAUUGCCCUAAGCGUCAUUGAACAAUGCCUCUUAAAUUCAACUUUCAAAUUUUGAAUUUCAUGCAACUUCCACUCAUUCCACUAAAAAAUUUAACAAUCAAACCUCUAAAAUGCAUCUAGAACAGAAUCA